UACGGAGGAGGCAAUCGUUAUCCGGAAUUAUUGGGCGUAAAGCGUCCGUAGGUGGUUGACCAAGUCUGCUGUCAAAGGGUGGGGCUUAACCUCAUAAAGGCAGUGGAAACUGGUGAGCUAGAGUGCGGUAGGGGUAAGGGGAAUUCCCAGUGUAGCGGUGAAAUGCGUAGAGAUUGGGAAGAACAUCGGUGGCGAAAGCGCCUUGCUGGGCCUGCACUGACACUGAGGGACGAAAGCUAGGGGAGAGCAAGGG
RNAcentral lists this ribosomal RNA (253 nucleotides) under uncultured bacterium. Its description in RNAcentral is "partial 16S ribosomal RNA". It matches the Rfam family "Bacterial small subunit ribosomal RNA", at positions 524 to 776 of the family's 1533-position model. The record is from RNAcentral.